ACGGGAGCUUGCUCCCUUAGGUCAGCGGCGGACGGGUGAGUAACACGUGGGUAACCUGCCUGUAAGACUGGGAUAACUCCGGGAAACCGGGGCUAAUACCGGAUGCUUGAUUGAACCGCAUGGUUCAAUUAUAAAAGGUGGCUUUUAGCUACCACUUACAGAUGGACCCGCGGCGCAUUAGCUAGUUGGUGAGGUAACGGCUCACCAAGGCAACGAUGCGUAGCCGACCUGAGAGGGUGAUCGGCCACACUGGGACUGAGACACGGCCCAGACUCCUACGGGAGGCAGCAGUAGGGAAUCUUCCGCAAUGGACGAAAGUCUGACGGAGCAACGCCGCGUGAGUGAUGAAGGUUUUCGGAUCGUAAAACUCUGUUGUUAGGGAAGAACAAGUACCGUUCGAAUAGGGCGGUACCUUGACGGUACCUAACCAGAAAGCCACGGCUAACUACGUGCCAGCAGCCGCGGUAAUACGUAGGUGGCAAGCGUUGUCCGGAAUUAUUGGGCGUAAAGCGCGCGCAGGCGGUUUCUUUAGUCUGAUGUGAAAGCCCCCGGCUCAACCGGGGAGGGUCAUUGGAAACUGGGGAACUUGAGUGCAGAAGAGGAGAGUGGAAUUCCACGUGUAGCGGUGAAAUGCGUAGAGAUGUGGAGGAACACCAGUGGCGAAGGCGACUCUCUGGUCUGUAACUGACGCUGAGGCGCGAAAGCGUGGGGAGCGAACAGGAUUAGAUACCCUGGUAGUCCACGCCGUAAACGAUGAGUGCUAAGUGUUAGAGGGUUUCCGCCCUUUAGUGCUGCAGCAAACGCAUUAAGCACUCCGCCUGGGGAGUACGGUCGCAAGACUGAAACUCAAAGGAAUUGACGGGGGCCCGCACAAGCGGUGGAGCAUGUGGUUUAAUUCGAAGCAACGCGAAGAACCUUACCAGGUCUUGACAUCCUCUGACAACCCUAGAGAUAGGGCUUCCCCUUCGGGGGCAGAGUGACAGGUGGUGCAUGGUUGUCGUCAGCUCGUGUCGUGAGAUGUUGGGUUAAGUCCCGCAACGAGCGCAACCCUUGAUCUUAGUUGCCAGCAUUCAGUUGGGCACUCUAAGGUGACUGCCGGUGACAAACCGGAGGAAGGUGGGGAUGACGUCAAAUCAUCAUGCCCCUUAUGACCUGGGCUACACACGUGCUACAAUGGGCAGAACAAAGGGCAGCGAAGCCGCGAGGCUAAGCCAAUCCCACAAAUCUGUUCUCAGUUCGGAUCGCAGUCUGCAACUCGA
RNAcentral lists this ribosomal RNA (1259 nucleotides) under Bacillus licheniformis. Its description in RNAcentral is "bacterial SSU rRNA". It matches the Rfam family "Bacterial small subunit ribosomal RNA", at positions 72 to 1315 of the family's 1533-position model. Lineage: Bacteria; Bacillati; Bacillota; Bacilli; Caryophanales; Bacillaceae. The record is from RNAcentral.